This is a long non-coding RNA of Marmota flaviventris (yellow-bellied marmot), 436 nucleotides long. RefSeq lists it as uncharacterized. NCBI's taxonomy places the organism in Eukaryota, Metazoa, Chordata, Mammalia, Rodentia, Sciuridae. The record is from RefSeq and is a predicted model, not a curated record.
CAUCACAUUGGUCACAUCUAAACUCUGGGAAGAAACAAAGAACCAACUAGUCUUCUGUUUUCAAAGGCACAAAUGCCCGGUGUUUUGGUCAGACAGUAGGUAUUCCCUGUGCUACCACUGUGUGGUGCUGCUUCCUUUAAAUUACAUUUGCUUCAUGUUGUCAUGGCCUCUAAAUUUGUUCUGGUCUACCAAGACAUCAUCUGAAUGCUUCGAUAAUCAUGAAGGCUGGGAACUGAGAAACACCUGCAGAGCCAGGGUCGGUUGUGUCUUCAUCAUUCGCAGCAGCUCAGGUGGACAGCCCUAGAGACCCUGCUACUGCACAGCUCAGGAGGGCCUCGUGAAGAAGAUGCCCGAGAAGACAGAAGAAAUGGGCUGAAAUGAGUUAACUCUUAAUUGGGAAGUUUAUGAGGAAAAGAAAAUACAGCUGCCAACUGCU